GCCUGGCUGGCUCAGUCAGUAGAGCAUGCAACUUCUAAUCUCAGGGUCAUGAGUUCAGGCCCCAUGGUGGGCA
RNAcentral lists this transfer RNA (73 nucleotides) under Canis lupus familiaris (dog). It matches the Rfam family "tRNA". From Rfam's summary of the family: Transfer RNA (tRNA) molecules are approximately 80 nucleotides in length. Their secondary structure includes four short double-helical elements and three loops (D, anti-codon, and T loops). RNAcentral also lists the same sequence under 3 other names. Lineage: Eukaryota; Metazoa; Chordata; Mammalia; Carnivora; Canidae. The record is from Rfam by way of RNAcentral.